Ovis aries (sheep) is the source of this 70-nucleotide transfer RNA. It matches the Rfam family "tRNA". From Rfam's summary of the family: Transfer RNA (tRNA) molecules are approximately 80 nucleotides in length. Their secondary structure includes four short double-helical elements and three loops (D, anti-codon, and T loops). Further hydrogen bonds mediate the characteristic L-shaped molecular structure. tRNAs have two regions of fundamental functional importance: the anti-codon, which is responsible for specific mRNA codon recognition, and the 3' end, to which the tRNAs corresponding amino acid is attached (by aminoacyl-tRNA synthetases). tRNAs cope with the degeneracy of the genetic code in two manners: having more than one tRNA (with a specific anti-codon) for a particular amino acid; and 'wobble' base-pairing, i.e. permitting non-standard base-pairing at the 3rd anti-codon position. The record is from Rfam. NCBI's taxonomy places the organism in Eukaryota, Metazoa, Chordata, Mammalia, Artiodactyla, Bovidae.
UCCCUGGUGGCUGAGGUUAAAGCAUCUGAGUGGAAUGCAGGAGACCCAGGUUCUAUCCCUGGGUCGGGAA